Pseudopipra pipra is the source of this 251-nucleotide long non-coding RNA. RefSeq lists it as uncharacterized. The transcript has 2 exons. The record is from RefSeq and is a predicted model, not a curated record. Lineage: Eukaryota; Metazoa; Chordata; Aves; Passeriformes; Pipridae.
GUGCAAAGCAGCAAAGAAUGACAAAAGGCUGAGCUCAGUAACGCACCUCAUCGUUCCUACCAAGAGUGCCUGGAGUUCUGCAAAGUGAAAAACACAUCACCAGACAUAACCUCCUUCCACUUCUGUUCCCCUUCUCAAACAGCAUCAACUGCAACAAUGGAUUCUAAUUCAGUGUUCCAGAACAGCCACCCAUUGAUUCCAACACUCCAUUAAAUUCUCCCUGGGAGCUGUUCCUCCGGGGGGGCCGCCAA